UGGGGAAUAUUGCACAAUGGGCGCAAGCCUGAUGCAGCCAUGCCGCGUGUAUGAAGAAGGCCUUCGGGUUGUAAAGUACUUUCAGUCGGGAGGAAGGUGGUAAGGUUAAUAACCUUAUCAAUUGACGUUACCGACAGAAGAAGCACCGGCUAACACCGUGCCAGCAGCCGCGGUAAUACGGAGGGUGCAAGCGUUAAUCGGAAUUACUGGGCGUAAAGCGCACGCAGGCGGUUUGUUAAGUCAGAUGUGAAAUCCCCGGGCUCAACCUGGGAACUGCAUCUGAUACUGGCAAGCUUGAGUCUCGUAGAGGGGGGUAGAAUUCCAGGUGUAGCGGUGAAAUGCGUAGAGAUCUGGAGGAAUACCGGUGGCGAAGGCGGCCCCCUGGACGAAGACUGACGCUCAGGUGGGAAAGCGUGGGGAGCAAACAGG
Molecule: ribosomal RNA, 429 nt
Filed under: Chloroflexota bacterium
Lineage: Bacteria; Bacillati; Chloroflexota
Description: Chloroflexi bacterium partial 16S ribosomal RNA
Rfam family: Bacterial small subunit ribosomal RNA
Source: RNAcentral